GGCGAACGGGUGAGUAACACGUGACCAACCUGCCUCUUACAUUGGGACAACCAAAGAAAUUCUGGCUAAUACCAAAUACUCCGCACAUAUCACAUGAUGUAUGCGGGAAAGCUUUUGCGGUAAGAGAUGGGGUCGCGGCCCAUUAGGUAGACGGCGGGGUAGAAGCCCACCGUGCCGAUGAUGGGUAGCCGGGUUGAGAGACCGACCGGCCACAUUGGGACUGAGAUACGGCCCAGACUCCUACGGGAGGCAGCAGUG
Molecule: ribosomal RNA, 258 nt
Filed under: uncultured Cryptobacterium sp.
Lineage: Bacteria; Bacillati; Actinomycetota; Coriobacteriia; Eggerthellales; Eggerthellaceae
Description: partial 16S ribosomal RNA
Rfam family: Bacterial small subunit ribosomal RNA
Source: RNAcentral